AGGGCCCCCAUCCUCGGCGCCCCUUAGGCUCUCACCCGACGACGCCGGGCUCCCUCCGAGGUACCCGCGGCCCCGGUCCCCUCUUCUGGAGACGGCGCCAGGUGAACUGCCCGCACAGAUUGCUCUCUGAAUGGAGUCGUGGCAGUGAAAGCACCAACUCCUAACCACAGGACCGCUAGGGAAGUCCCUGCUCCUGGCUGCUUUGACCCAGCAUAAUGCUGCUGCGAUUCAUCCAUGUCAUACAUAUCAGUGGAAUCAAUAGGGUUGAGAAGUUUCAAAUCUAAAGGAAAGUUGCUGAAAUAACACAAUGAAUACCCUCCACUUAAGCUCCCAAUGGUGGACAUUUUGCCACAUUUGCUUUCUUGCUCUCUUACACGACACACACUCGCACACAUUUUACUAAACCAUUGGCUACUUCACCUUGCAUCUCUGAGGACGCAGAUAUCCCUCUACAUAAUCAUGUACCAUUAUCACAUGUGAUCGACUGAACAUUUCUCUUUAGACCCCUUUCAUCUGAAAUACUCCCCUUGCCUUCUUUUUUUUUCUUUUUUUAAAUAUUUAUUUAUUUAUUUUGGCUGUGCCGGGUCUUAGUUGUGGCCCACAGGAUCUUCUGUUGCGGCAUGCAUGCGGGAUCUAGUUCUCUGACCAGAGAUUGAGCCCAGGCCCCCUGCAUUGGGAGCAUGGAGUCUUACUCACUGGACCACCAGGGAAGUCCCACUCCCCUUGCCUUCUUAUGUGUCUUUCGGGAUAUUGACUUUGGGGGGAAGAAUACAAGCAGCUGUUUUCCAAAAUGUUUCUCAGACUUAUCCAGGAUAAUGUAUUUAGAUUUAGUUUGUUCUUAACAGCUGUAAGGUAUUUCAUCCAAUGUUUAUGCCCCGAUUUGUUUCUCCACUCUCCUAUCAAUGAACACUUAGUCUUCUGGCACUUCUUCAACAUUAUAAACAAUGUUCUAAUGCACAUCCUUGUACGUAGAUCUCCAUGGACACUUGGAUGGAAAUUUUAUGCUGUCAUCAUUCUAGAAGUAGAAUCAGUGGGGGGAGGUGUUCCAGUGAUCUCUUGCUGGGUAAUAACUAUCCCACCAUUUAGAGGCUUGGAACAGCAAAUUUUUUUUUUUUUUAAUUAUUCUUUAGAACUUUUUUUAAAAUUUAUUUUUGGCUGCGUUGGGUCUUCAUUGCUGCACGCGGGCUUUCUCUAGUUUUGGCUAGCGGGGGCUCCUCUUCAUUGCGGUGCGCGGGCUUCUCAUCGUGGUGGCUUCUCUUGUUGCAAAGCACAGGCUCUAGGCACACAGGCUCAGUAGUUGUGUCGCACAGGCUUCAUGUGGGAUCUUCCCGGACCAGGGCUUGAAGCCGUGUCCCCUGCAUUGACAGGCGGAUUCUUAACCACUGUGCCACCAGGGAAGCCCAGCAAUUUGGUUUUCUCUGUCACAGUUUUGAGGGUUGGCUGGGCUCUGCCGGGAUCUCAUGCAGUUGCAGGUAAGAUGGUGGCCGGGGCUGGAGUCGUCAGAUGGUUUCUCCGCUCCCAAGUCUGGCGCCUGGGCUGGCUGGCUGGGUCAGCUGGGACGAGAUAGCGUUUCUUUCUUCACGCAGCCUCUGCACGUGUCUGCCUGGAUUUCCUCCCAGCGAGGCUAUCCCAGACUCCUCACGUGGCAGCCGACUUCCCCAAAAACGAGGUUCCAAGAAGCCUGGGCAGAAGCUGCCAGGCUUCUUAAGACUCAGAAGUUCCCAGAACCAUCACUUCUACAGCAUGCUACUGGUCAGGCCUCUCACUGUUGUGGCUUCUCCCAUUGCGGAGCACAGGCUCCCGACGCGCAGGCUCAGCAGCCAUGGCUCACGGGCCCAGCCGCUCCGCGGCACGUGGGAUCUUCCCGGUCCAGGGCACGAACCCGUGUCCCCUGAAUCGGCAGGCGGACUCUCAACCACUGCACCACCAGGGAAGCCCUACCUUAACCAUUUUUAAGUGUACAGGUUGGCGGCAUUACAUGCAGUCACAAUGCUGGGCAGAAAUCACCACCAUCAUCCCCAUAACUCCUUUCAGCUUGUAAAACUGAAACUCUGUCCCCAUUAAACACAAACUACCCCUUCUCCCCACCCUUGGCCCCUGGCAGUCACCACUGUACUUUCUGUCUCUGUGAGUUUCAGUACUCUAAGUACCUCAUAUGAGUGGAAUCCUGUAGUAGUUGCCUGCCAUUAAGUCUUUUCAAGGACAGUUUCUGUUGAUUUUUUUUUCCUUUGAACUGGCCAUAUUUCCUGUUUCUUUGUGUGCCUUGUGAUUUUUUGUUGAACACUGGGACAUUUAAAUCUAAUAAUGUGGUAACUCUGGAAGUCAGAUUCUCCCCCUCCCCAGGGUUUGCUGUUUUUUGUUGUUGUUUGGGGGCUUUUUUUUUUUUUUGGAAUGUUGUAGGCUGUCUCUGUGACUGAGGUGUGAACUUAAUGUGUUCUUAGGUCUUUUCUGAGCCUUUCCUUGGGCACACGCAGUCACUUGCUAAUUUUCCCCAUAGAUGCAGGUUUUUUGUUUUGUUUUGUUUUGUUUUAAUGUUCUAGUCUUUAAUGUCUGACUCCUGAAAGGGGAAAAUCGUUAAAAGAUGGGGAUUAAUACUCAAUGCUCUGUGGUGACCUAAAUGGGAAGGAAAAGGAAAUCCAAAAAAGAGGGGAUAUAUGUAUAUGUAUAGGUUCACUUUGUUGUACAGUAGAAACUAACACAACAUUGUAAAGCAACUAUACUCCAAUAAAAAUUUAUUUAAAAAGAAAAAGAAAGGGGUUAUAAAGGGGUCCGGGGCCUUUAAAUUCCCUGGCAUUUACUUCAGCCAGAUGGGCGGGGGCUGCAGCAGCGGGCGAGCUGCCACAAGAAUGGCUGCCGCCCCUCGGUCUACAGCUCCCUGAUCAGAAGCAUUGAUCAGUCUCAGCCGUCAGAGCCCAGAUCCCCCAUCUUCGGAGGACAGGGUCCUUUUUUGCUCACCUUCCUUCCUACAAGUUCUCCAGGUGGGGGAUGGGCAGCUACUACUGAACUGAGAGCUGAAAUUGAUGGCCAUUUACUGUCCAAGCCUUCCCCUGGAAGUUGUAAGCCUUCAGGCUUCCAGAAUAGUUCCAUCAGACAGAUUCUGCCAGUGCAAUUGUUGUCCAGGUGGGGAGACAGAUUCCUGGUGCUUCCUACUCCACCAUCUUCCCAGAAUCUUCUCUGAUCCAAAGCCUUUAGCACAACAGUGGGUGAAACAGUCGGGGAGUGAAGAAGGGAACUUCCCAGGACUCCUUGACACAGGAGCCCCACUCACCACUCAUUGUGGUACCAAAACCUGUUGGUGAAGCCCUGACUUGGCGGCAAUUAGAUUGAGAAAACAGAACUAGAAGUGCAAGAGUUCAUGAGACUAUGGAAGUUGGAAUGUUUAAACAGCCUUUAUGUAAAGAAGCUGUGUCUCCUUUACCUAUUGUUUUAUGGGAAUGGAUAUUAUGUCCUGCUGGGAAUAUUUCCCCUACCUGGUAUUGUAAACUCCAAACCUGUAGAUGGAGUCCCAGCGGAGGCCACAUCUAGGAAUGUAAGGGUCGAUUGAAUUAAGGUAAAAGUUCUACUAACUGGAAUUCUACUAAUUGGAAUACUCCAUCAGACUUUCUGUGAAGUGCCUCUUUUACCUGAGUGCAAUUACAGGGAUUGACACUGUAUCUGACUGGGGAAUGUUUCCCUAACUAGUACUGUGAAACAGAAGGUGUGCAAAUCCUCCCUUCAAGCAAGGUUACUUGGACAUGCUAAACAGGAACCAGUAAGAUUGCCCGACUCUACACAGCGUUGAAUAGAAGGUGGGGUGCUGGCAGGGACAGAGUCUCUGUGCGGUAGACCUAUGUGGAUUGUAGACUGGGGCUUAAGGCAAAAGCCUGUGAGCACCCCCCAGCGAUGACUACUGAGACUUUCAACUGGAGAGUUUCCAGGGUUAUUUACUAUCUUGUUUUCAGACAUUAAUUGAAGCUACCCCAUGACUGAAGGACAUAAAAUGAUCUUAAAACCUGAAAUACCCAUUACGUCUAGGGUGAUAUCAGAGAAAUGCUCUAAUGGGGAUGGCAGAACCCAGAAGAGUUCCAUCAUAAGAUGGAAAUGGUUUUCACAAAAUGGCGCUGCCUGGGGAGACCGUCACGAGGAGGGAGCCUCUCUUCUCUGAGGACUGAAUCCGGAUCUGUGUGAGCAGCUCUGGAUUCCACCACUUGGACAGUGAGUGCCCUAUUAACAGCUCUCGACUGACCAACAAGAAGAUGCUUGGUUUGUGGACAGCAGUUCCAAGGUGAACAGACAACCUCCUCUUUGGAAGGCCACCACUGUGAUCAAAGAAUGUGAAAACAGAUCAGUCUGGUGGGCUGAACUGCAAGCUGUUUUCCUAGCCAUGAUGGGAGAAUUGGCAGUGGGGAAAUUCCCUAUGUUUUGGUUUCUACAGACUCACGGUCAGGCAGGAGGGCAAUGGAAACCUGGCCUGUUAAAGGGAUGCCUAGGGAAUUCUCUGAUGGUCUAAUGGUUAGGACUCUGGGCUUCCACUGCAGGGGACACUGGUUUGAUCCCUGGUCGGGGAACAAAGAUCCCACAUGCAGCACAGCGUGGCCAAAAAAUAAUUAUAAUAAUUAAAAAUAAAUAAAUAAAAUGAUGCCGAUAUGGGACACAGCCCCGUGGAAAUAACUAUGGAAAUUUGAGGGGUGCUUGAA
Long non-coding RNA from Orcinus orca (killer whale), 4676 nucleotides. RefSeq lists it as uncharacterized. The transcript is spliced from 3 exons. Lineage: Eukaryota; Metazoa; Chordata; Mammalia; Artiodactyla; Delphinidae. The record is from RefSeq and is a predicted model, not a curated record.